CUGAAUUCUUCACUACGAUCACUUCACUACCUUCACUUUCAGUGUUGCUGGAGGUCACAUCUCAGGACCCUGGUGUUCAUAAAGGAGGACAUCGAUUGCUUCCUUGGUUUAAACCAAGGAAUCGCUUUCCUGCUGCCCUCUGCCUGGGGCUGCCGAGGCCUUGGAGAACCGAAGGUGCAUCUGGUCCCACUCCUACUGACAAGAAGGCUUGGUGGCAACUGGUCUCCAUAAAUGAACAUAAACAUGUUUGAGAGCAUCAAACUCAGACUGGUGCAAAUAAAGAGCUGCAUGAACAGCGUCCAUCGAUACAGGACAGGUCUCAGGCACAACAGCCUAUGAAGAUGGAAACCAAUUUGGAGAAAUGACUCUGUUGGUGCCCAAGGUCAAUAACCUUCUGCUGAAAUACAAAGCAAGGAGCCUGGGGGUCACUGGGAUGAGUGAGGACCAAGGACUACUGUUGCAGAGGUGAGUCACACUCGAGUAGAACAGCUCACCCACCGAUAACGUCAAGAACAGUGCUACAUACCGUACAGAGGGGCAAGCUGGUGGGAAACUGAGUGCUAGAGGGGCCUGGCACUGUUUGGGGAAAAUUCUGGCAUUAGUUAACAUUUUUAUGUUAGUCUAUCCUAGGCAGGUGAGAGUCAUCAUGUUUAAACUUUCAUAAGAUUACUCUGGGAUUUUCUUGGGUGUGUGUAAAACUUUAAAAUUGUACAACACAGGACCGAGUAGGAAUAGUGCCCACGUAGAUAUACAGAAUUUCAGUCUGAAAGCUGUCUGGAACCAGUGGUCUGAUCAUUAAGAGACUUUGCCAUUGUUGCUUUUACAGUUAAAGCAGACCAUGUCCUGUCUGAGCAUCUGACACUGCAAAGGGGUGGCACCGCACUAGGGAGGCCACGACAGAGCAGGGUCACCUGGAGCAGCCAGAGUCUGAGCAGGUGAUGCCAAUUCCCUCUCCUUAGAGGAAGCAUCUUGCUGCUGAUCUUCAGCAAAAGUAACCUGCUCAUGGGGCAUUUUCUAA
Ictidomys tridecemlineatus (thirteen-lined ground squirrel) is the source of this 1018-nucleotide non-coding RNA. The record is from RefSeq and is a predicted model, not a curated record. Lineage: Eukaryota; Metazoa; Chordata; Mammalia; Rodentia; Sciuridae.